CCCGCUGAAACUUAAGCAUAUUAAUAAGCGGAGGAAAAGAAAACUAAACAAGGAUUCCCCCUAGUAACGGCGAGUGAAGCGGGAAGAGCUCAAGCUUAAAAUCUCCGUGCAAGUUUUGCGCGGCGAAUUGUAGUCUAUAGAGGCGUGAUCAGUGUGGGCGCUUGGGGCAAGUUCCUUGGAAGAGGACAGCAUGGAGGGUGAUACUCCCGUUCAUCCCUGAGUUGCUCGUGCGUACGAUCCGUUUUCUUUGAGUCGCGUUGUUUGGGAAUGCAGCGCAAAGUAGGUGGUAAAUUCCAUCUAAAGCUAAAUAUUGGUGCGAGACCGAUAGCGAACAAGUACCGUGAGGGAAAGAUGAAAAGAACUUUGAAAAGAGAGUUAAAGAGUACCUGAAACUGCUGAAAGGGAACCGAAUCGUUUCCAGUGUCUAUAAUCCG
Molecule: non-coding RNA, 434 nt
Filed under: Phytophthora infestans T30-4
Lineage: Eukaryota; Oomycota; Peronosporomycetes; Peronosporales; Peronosporaceae
Description: Eukaryotic large subunit ribosomal RNA
Rfam family: Eukaryotic large subunit ribosomal RNA
Source: Rfam by way of RNAcentral